GCAGUGUUCUGGAAUUCUGUGCAUGGGAGAAUCAUUCAGUCCCUCAUAGCAGUGUUCUGGAAUUCUGUGUGAGGGA
Molecule: microRNA precursor, 76 nt
Organism: Gorilla gorilla gorilla (western lowland gorilla)
Lineage: Eukaryota; Metazoa; Chordata; Mammalia; Primates; Hominidae
Source: Ensembl